AUGAACGCUGGCGGCGUGCCUCAUACAUGCAAGUCGAGCGAACAGACGAGGAGCUUGCUCCUCUGACGUUAGCGGCGGACGGGUGAGUAACACGUGGAUAACCUACCUAUAAGACUGGGAUAACUUCGGGAAACCGGAGCUAAUACCGGAUAAUAUAUUGAACCGCAUGGUUCAAUAGUGAAAGACGGUUUUGCUGUCACUUAUAGAUGGAUCCGCGCCGCAUUAGCUAGUUGGUAAGGUAACGGCUUACCAAGGCAACGAUGCGUAGCCGACCUGAGAGGGUGAUCGGCCACACUGGAACUGAGACACGGUCCAGACUCCUAAGGGAGGCAGCAGUAGGGAAUCUUCCGCAAUGGGCGAAAGCCUGACGGAGCAACGCCGCGUGAGUGAUGAAGGUCUUCGGAUCGUAAAACUCUGUUAUUAGGGAAGAACAAAUGUGUAAGUAACUAUGCACGUCUUGACGGUACCUAAUCAGAAAGCCACGGCUAACUACGUG
This 496-nucleotide ribosomal RNA is filed under the name uncultured bacterium. RNAcentral describes it as "partial 16S ribosomal RNA". It matches the Rfam family "Bacterial small subunit ribosomal RNA", at positions 29 to 507 of the family's 1533-position model. The record is from RNAcentral.